CAUGCAUUUACAUGACUAUUUAUUAACACAUUUACUAAGGGACAGUACUACAGGGUAUUAGAAUGACAUUACAUUUUUCUGUGUUAGGGAGGAGUAAACCACCAGCAACACUCUCAAAACCAGACCGGCCUGAUGAAUAUAGUGCUACUGCAUCUCCACGGCCAGGUUGGUAUAUGGACGUGUAUACAUGCUGACUCUACUGUAAGAAUAUGCCUGUUCCUGAUCAGUGUUAUUGUUUUUCACCAAUUCCAUUCACUUCAGUGAGGGUUCCUUUGCCAGUACCUCCAGAGUUGCUUGAAUUAUCUACAAACAAGACCACAUCGCCUUUGAGACCAGUGCAGGAAACUGUGUUCUGUCAGUCCCUCCUCCCAGUGACCUCUGCACAGUCUACAGCCUCUACUCCUCCCUCAGGACCCCCCGCAGUUGCUGGCCAGUCUUUUUCUGGACUCCCUGCAGCCUCUACUGGGUACCCCUCAACUCAGUUGGAGGAGAAGCAUGCUGUUCCACCACUGCCAAGCUAUGAGCAGGAUGUGAUAAGAUGGCACUGCUCUCAAAAGCAGAGAAUCUGGAUGAAAACAGAUAUGGAAGCCUUGGGACUGUGGCCAGGUUCUAGACCAGUGAGACAUCCAAUGAACAUGAUCUCCUUGUGGCGUUACCCACCUCAGCCUGAGCUUAUUGAUGCUGUCUAUGAGCUGCCAUCACCGAAAUACUUUCAACUUCAUCCAUUCUUCAUUUGGAAACCAGAGCACACCAUUAUGGAAAGAGUCCGCAACAACUACACUCUGCCAUGUCUGUACGGCUGUCCAAAUCCCCACGUUGUCUCAUCAGGAGUUGGACGACCCCGUGUCAUUAUUGGUACAAGCAGCCAGUACUACAUACUGGCCUCUCGGCUCAGCUGUAAAGGCUGUAAAAAGUACUGGUUUGCAGACAAACCCCAAUGGAUGGACAUGCUGCCAAGUCGGUUCUGCAACAUUUUGCCAGCUUUUCUGACACACAAGAAGGCCAUAUGUAAGACUGUAAUGGAUGAGUUGCGGCACACAGCAAAGUCUCCCAAUGAUAUGGCCAAUCAGUUGAAUGAAGCUCUCCACCUGAAGUAUGAGCGUGCACACCUGGCUUACCUGUCCACUGUUAAGAAUGUGCUGGAUGGAGACGGUGGACUUUAUGGUCAGCAGACCAUCACAGGGGCACUAAGAGCAACAAAUACUCACACACACACACACACACACACACAAACAAACAAUAUUUAUUGUGGUUGCUAUAUCCAUCUUUUUCUAAAAGCACACCCAUAUGUAUGUGAACUCAGGUUAUUGCUGUAAAAGAGCUUAAUGUUCAGUCAAUUUUCCCUGAAUAAACAACAGUUGAUAUUUAUAAAUAUUCCAUCCUUUAAUACCAAUCUUUGUUUUGUUAUUUUUUCAUAGAAGUGGAGGAGGGUGAAGAAUUGGGGAGGAUGAUGCUACCCACAUAUUCAUCUAAAAUUCCAGGCCAACUGAGUGAGAACCAUAUACAUGGCACAUACAUGCUCAAACACACAUACACUUCAGUC
RNAcentral lists this long non-coding RNA (1543 nucleotides) under Sinocyclocheilus grahami. RNAcentral's name for it is "lncRNA (ENSSGRG00000007429.1)". The record is from RNAcentral. Lineage: Eukaryota; Metazoa; Chordata; Actinopteri; Cypriniformes; Cyprinidae.